UACGGAGGGUGCGAGCGUUAUCCGGAUUUACUGGGUUUAAAGGGUGCGUAGGCGUCUUUCUAAGUCAGUGGUGAAAGCCUGGCGCUCAACGCCAGAAAUGCCAUUGAUACUGAAGAGCUUGAGUCAAGAAGAGGUAAGCAGAAUUCAUGGUGUAGCGGUGAAAUGCAUAGAUACCAUGAGGAAUUUCAAUAGCGAAGGCAGCUUACUGGUCUUUGACUGACGCUGAGGCACGAAAGCGUGGGGAGCAAACAGG
RNAcentral lists this ribosomal RNA (253 nucleotides) under uncultured bacterium. RNAcentral's name for it is "partial 16S ribosomal RNA". It matches the Rfam family "Bacterial small subunit ribosomal RNA", at positions 524 to 776 of the family's 1533-position model. The record is from RNAcentral.